UUAGAUAUCAAGUAUUCAAAAGUCAAUAAGGAACAUGCUUGCUCCCAAGAAGCUGGUAGGGAGUUAGAGAUACUAACAUACAGUGGUAUAAUUGUGUGCUGAAUGCCGUGGUGGAAGCUCAGGAGUCCCCUCUUCUAGAAAGCUAUCUUUGGCUUGCUUUGUUCUCCCACAGUACUCUGGGCCUCUCUACCUCACAGCCCCUGUCACACUGUAGUCCACUUGUCUUUUACUCAGUGGUCUCCUCACUAACCCAUAAGAUCCUUGAGGGCAGAACUGUCUGAUUAAUCUGUUUUCCUGAUGCCUAGCACGGCAUGGCUGACUCCCAACAAAUAUUUGUUGAACAGAUGCCAUGGAAACAUCAACAAGGGAGCUAUUAAUUCUGUCUGGGGAAUCAGGCAAGGAAUGCCUCACAGAGAAGGUGACAGAUGGACUAUGUCCUUGAAAGAUUAAUAGCAGUUUUCCCGGGAGAGAAGGAGGGAAAUGGCAUUCCAGAUAGAGGCAUGUGCAAAGGCUUGAAGGUACAACACAGCAUGGCUUUU
RNAcentral lists this long non-coding RNA (539 nucleotides) under Homo sapiens (human). RNAcentral describes it as "HSALNT0006906". Lineage: Eukaryota; Metazoa; Chordata; Mammalia; Primates; Hominidae. The record is from RNAcentral.